CCCUUAGAUGUUCUGGGCUGCACACGUGCUACACUGGCAGGUUCAGCGAGCUUCAUGCCCUGAUCUGAAAGGAAUGGGAAAUCUUUUCAAAACCUGCCGUGCUUGGGAUAGAUGUUUGCAAUUAUUCAUCUUCAACGAGGAUCGCCUUGUAAGCGCACGUCAUCAGCGUGCAUUGAAUACGACCCUGUAUUCUGUACACACCGCCCGUCGCUCCUACCGAUUGAAGUUUUCGGUGAGUUGACAGGAGGAUUUUUUUGAAACUGGUUCGCCAGUGGAUUUUAGAUCCAAAUGCCAACGAAUCGAUGGCUUUAGAGGAAGGAGAAGUCGUAACA
This 332-nucleotide ribosomal RNA is filed under the name uncultured eukaryote. RNAcentral describes it as "partial 18S ribosomal RNA". It matches the Rfam family "Eukaryotic small subunit ribosomal RNA", at positions 1470 to 1796 of the family's 1831-position model. The record is from RNAcentral.